GAGGACGGUUAACAGGUGGCCGACGGCGAAGGGCAACCGGUGGGUGGCAGCAUGCAACCUACGGAGGACGGCGGUUUUUUGGAGCGAUUUUCAGGCAUUUCGAGGGGUUCGGGCAUUUUUCGACAGUUUUUUGAGUUUGGGACUUUUUUCAGUUAUUUUUUAGCAAAUUGUGGUGUUAGAGCCUUUUGGUGACCUUAGUGUCACUUUUGAGUAAUUUGAGUCAUACUGACAUUAAG
This 236-nucleotide long non-coding RNA is filed under the name Lathyrus oleraceus (garden pea). RNAcentral's name for it is "Pisum sativum (pea) long non-coding RNA (PSAT_LNC013227)". Lineage: Eukaryota; Viridiplantae; Streptophyta; Magnoliopsida; Fabales; Fabaceae. The record is from RNAcentral.